This 1949-nucleotide long non-coding RNA is filed under the name Capra hircus (goat). Its description in RNAcentral is "lncRNA (ENSCHIG00010026227.1)". Lineage: Eukaryota; Metazoa; Chordata; Mammalia; Artiodactyla; Bovidae. The record is from RNAcentral.
AUGGUGCAGGAAUGGCCUUGGAGGAAGUGGCCAGUGCCCACGGGCUGUGCAGCAAGUGGCCAGUGCCUCUGGGGGCUGCUCACAUCCCCAGGGCCCACCCAGGACCCUCUGAGCCACCUUUGCCCUGGGAUCACAGUGUCAGAUACAUUGCCCGCAGUCUUCAGACACUGGAGAGACCAAGCAGAAAGCCCAAGUUUUAGAAGCCACAAGUCAGGAGGUAGAGACCUCACCAUGGCGCCCAUCUCCCCGCCUUCCCAGGGCAGCCACACAUGCCCCCAUGGGCAGAAGGGCCCUGUAGCCAGGCCUGGGAAGCACAGGGCCCGCCCAGAUGCCUACAAAAUGCUCACUCACUGGGCUCUUUGAUCCGCCCCACUGGGCAGGCCUGCAUCAGCAAUGAGGUUUCCAUGGAGACGGUGCAGAGGGAGACAGCCCCACCCCCAGUCCUACCCCGAGCAUCUUGUGUGUUCCGGGCAGAGCCCUGCUCGCUGCCCUUCCCAGCCUUCCUGGAGGAGGUGGCGCCAAGCCCCGCCCCCCUCUCCCCCGGCUCCUGGCUUACCCAAUCCCCCUCCGACGGAGCAGGGCUCCCUUUGGAAAUGGAAGGGGUCCCUCAGCCCAGCCCCUCCUGAGAAGGAAAGCUCACCAGGCUAGGUAUCUGCUCCCCUGGAUUUUCUGGAGUCCAUGUGCCAAACCACCAGAGAAGCGGCCCACGCUGGUGCCGGGCUGGCCCCAGGAGGUCCUGGACACCCGCUGCUCCGGGUCCAGGCCCAGGCCUGCUGCCUUUAUACCCAGACCUGGCCCAAGGUGCUGAAGACUAACUGCCAUCCACGGGCUGGGUGCCAGACAGGGGUGAGCUCUGAGUCAGAGUGGCUCACCUGUGUGCAUGUGUGGGGUGUGCCUGCUGCACGGCCCAGGAGUGCCAGCCACUGGAAGGGAGGGUCCUGUGGCCCAGGGAAUCGUCGGGCCUCAGGCCUGGCCUGUCCUGGCACACCAGGCAGGGAGGAGCUGAGAGCCUUGCUCUGAGCCCCAUACCUCCCUGCCUGGUCCUCUCAAGGGGCCUUUUCCUGGAUGACAUUCACAGCUUUCAUGAUCCCUUUGUUCUGCUGUGCUACCCGUGGAGAGGGUGGUUCAGACCACCAAGCAUCCAUCAGUGUGGCCUGGACCCACAGGCCGCUUAAGUGGUUCUCAGUACCUAUCAGGGGUGGUCCUACUCCCAGGCCACCCUCCCCUCCCUGUGCCUGGGGUUUCUCACUGGGAAAGGGAUGUCUUCACAGUCAUUCUCUCCCAGCAUCGCUGGAGUGAGGGCCACCUUCACUAUUUUUUUUUAAAUUCCUCCCAUACUUUUUUUUAUUNNNNNNNNNNNNNNNNNNNNNNNNNNNNNNNNNNNNNNNNNNNNNNNNNNNNNNNNNNNNNNNNNNNNNNNNNNNNNNNNNNNNNUUUUUUUUUUUUGGUCACAAGGCAUGUAGGAUCUUAGCUCCCGCCAGGGAUUGAAACCCCACCCUCUGCCUUGGAAGGUAAAAAGUCUUAACCACUAGACCACUGGGAAAGUCCCCCACCUCCACUUUCACGCUUGUAUUUUAAUUGGGGAAGGGGCAGUAAACCUCUAAGCCGGCAUGUCAGGUGGUGAUUAGGAUGAAAAGAAAACAAUAAUGAAGAGAAGGGGACCUGAGUGGAGGGGGCUCAGCAGCCAUAAAGGGGUUGAUCAGGAAGGCCUCCCUCAACAGGUGAUGUUUAAAUAAGGACCUGGAUCAGGUGAGCUAAGGAGCCUAUCAGAUACCUGGGCAGAGUUUCCAAAUAGAGAAGGGCAAAAGCAAGCUGCAGAGGUUGAUGAGGCUGGUGAGAGGAGGGCAGAGGGUGACGAGGCCCAUGGGCUAGGAAGAAAUGUAUCUGGUCUUAGGGUUCAGUUCAGUUCAGUCACUCAGUUGUGUCCGAAUCUUUGCAACCCCAUGAAU